RNAcentral lists this ribosomal RNA (253 nucleotides) under uncultured bacterium. RNAcentral describes it as "partial 16S ribosomal RNA". It matches the Rfam family "Bacterial small subunit ribosomal RNA", at positions 524 to 776 of the family's 1533-position model. The record is from RNAcentral.
UACGUAGGUGGCAAGCGUUGUCCGGAAUUAUUGGGCGUAAAGCGCGCGCAGGCGGUCCUUUAAGUCUGAUGUGAAAUACUUCGGCUCAACCGGAGAAUUGCCGCUGAAACUGGCGUGCUCGAGGGAGGUAGAGGUGCGUGGAGCUUCCGGUGGAGCGGUGAAAUGCGUUGAUAUCGGAAGGAACACCUGUGGCGAAAGCGAUGCACUGGACCUCUUCUGACGCUGAGGCGCGAAAGCCAGGGGAGCGAACGGG